ACGCUCGACACCUACGGAGGCAGCAGUAGGGAAUCUUCCACAAUGGACGCAAGUCUGAUGGAGCAACGCCGCGUGAGUAGAAGAAGGUUUUCGGAUCGUAAAGCUCUGUUGUUGGUGAAGAAGGAUAGAGGUAGUAACUGGCCUUUAUUUGACGGUAAUCAACCAGAAAGUCACGGCUAACUACGUGCCACAGCCGCGGUAAUCUGAGCGGGCUGGCAAGGC
This 222-nucleotide ribosomal RNA is filed under the name uncultured bacterium. RNAcentral describes it as "partial 16S ribosomal RNA". It matches the Rfam family "Bacterial small subunit ribosomal RNA", at positions 328 to 539 of the family's 1533-position model. The record is from RNAcentral.